This 612-nucleotide ribosomal RNA is filed under the name Staphylococcus haemolyticus. Its description in RNAcentral is "bacterial SSU rRNA". It matches the Rfam family "Bacterial small subunit ribosomal RNA", at positions 60 to 671 of the family's 1533-position model. The record is from RNAcentral. Lineage: Bacteria; Bacillati; Bacillota; Bacilli; Caryophanales; Staphylococcaceae.
CUCCGACCUUGCUCCUUUGACGUUAGCGGAGGAGGGGUGAUUAACUGUGGGUAACCUACCUAUAAAACUGGGAUAACUUCGGGAAACCGGACCUCAUACCGGAUAAUAUUUCAAACCGCAUGGUUCUAUUGCGAAAGAUGGUUUUGCUAUCCCUUAUAAAUGGCCCCUCCCCGUAUUAUCUAGUUGGUAAGGUAACGGCUUACCAAGGCGACGAUCCUUACCCAACCUGAGAGGGUGAUCGGCCACACUGGAACUGACACACGGUCCAAACUCCUCCGGGAGGCAGCAGUAGGGAAUCUUCCGCAAUGGGCAAAAGCCUGACGGAGCACCGCCGCGUGAGUGAUGAAGGUCUUCGGAUCGUAAAACUCUGUUAUUAGGGAAGAACUUACGUGUAAGUAACUAUGCACGUCUUGACGGUACCUAAUCAGAAAGCCACGGCUAACUACGUGCCAGCAGCCGCGGUAAUACGUAGGUGGCAAGCGUUAUCCGGAAUUAUUGGGCGUAAAGCGCGCGUAGGCGGUUUUUUAAUUCUGAUGUGAAAACCCCACGGCUCACCCGGGGAGGGUCUUUGGAAACUGUAAAUUUUGAGUGCAAAAAGAAAGUGGUAUUUCC